GCGUGCGCAGGCGGUUUUGUAAGACUGUCGUGAAAUCCCCGGGCCUCAACCUGGGAAUGGCGAUGGUGACUGCAAGGCUAGAGUUUGGCAGAGGGGGGUAGAAUUCCACGUGUAGCAGUGAAAUGCGUAGAUAUGUGGAGGAACACCGAUGGCGAAGGCAGCCCCCCUGGGUCAAAAACUGACGCUCAUGCACGAAAGCGUGGGGAGCAAACAGGAUUAGAUACCCCAGU
RNAcentral lists this ribosomal RNA (230 nucleotides) under uncultured bacterium. RNAcentral describes it as "partial 16S ribosomal RNA". It matches the Rfam family "Bacterial small subunit ribosomal RNA", at positions 565 to 791 of the family's 1533-position model. The record is from RNAcentral.